AUUUAUGCUAAAAUAAUUCAACGAAAAAAGCCGGAAUAGCUCAGUUGGUAG
This 51-nucleotide transfer RNA is filed under the name Tayloria purpurascens. Its description in RNAcentral is "partial tRNA-Leu". Lineage: Eukaryota; Viridiplantae; Streptophyta; Bryopsida; Splachnales; Splachnaceae. The record is from RNAcentral.